GAUGAACGCUAGCGGCAGGCUUAAUACAUGCAAGUCGAGGGGCAGCAUGGUUGUAGCAAUACAACUGAUGGCGACCGGCAAACGGGUGCGGAACACGUACGCAAUCUACCCAAAACUGAUGAAUAGCCCUCCGAAAGGAGGAUUAAUACAUCGUAACUUAAUGAAGUGGCAUCACCUUAUUAAUAUAGCUCCGGCGGUUUUGGAUGAGCGUGCGCCUGAUUAGGAGUUGGCGGGGUAACGGCCCACCAAGCCAGCGAUCAGUAACUGGUGUGAGAGCACGACCAGUCACACGGGCACUGAGACACGGGCCCGACUCCUACGGGAGGCAGCAGUAAGGAAUAUUGGUCAAUGGACGCAAGUCUGAACCAGCCAUGCCGCGUGAAGGAUGAAGGUCCUCUGGA
RNAcentral lists this ribosomal RNA (401 nucleotides) under uncultured bacterium. Its description in RNAcentral is "bacterial SSU rRNA". It matches the Rfam family "Bacterial small subunit ribosomal RNA", at positions 28 to 422 of the family's 1533-position model. The record is from RNAcentral.